Molecule: ribosomal RNA, 497 nt
Filed under: uncultured bacterium
Lineage: Bacteria
Description: partial 16S ribosomal RNA
Rfam family: Bacterial small subunit ribosomal RNA
Source: RNAcentral
GAUGAACGCUGGCGGCGUGCCUAAUACAUGCAAGUCGAGCGAACAGACGAGGAGCUUGCUCCUCUGACGUUAGCGGCGGACGGGUGAGUAACACGUGGAUAACCUACCUAUAAGACUGGGAUAACUUCGGGAAACCGGAGCUAAUACCGGAUAAUAUAUUGAACCGCAUGGGGCAAUAGUGAAAGACGGUUUUGCUGUCACUUGUAGAUGGAUCCGCGCCGCAUUAGCUAGUUGGUAAGGUAAAGGCUUACCAAGGCAACGAUGCGUAGCCGACCUGAGAGCGUGAUCGGCCACCCUGGAACUGAGACACGGUCCAGACUCCUACGGGAGGCAGCGGUAGGGAAUCUUCCGCAAUGGGCGAAAGCUUGACGGAGCAACGCCGCGUGAGUGAUGAAGGUCUUCGGAUCGUAAAACUCUGUUAUUAGGGAAGAACAAAUGUGUAAGUAACUAUGCACGUCGUGACGGUACCUAAUCAGAAAGCCACGGCUAACUACGUG